Molecule: long non-coding RNA, 598 nt
Filed under: Hordeum vulgare
Lineage: Eukaryota; Viridiplantae; Streptophyta; Magnoliopsida; Poales; Poaceae
Description: long non-coding RNA (HVUL_LNC014556)
Source: RNAcentral
AGGUAAAGCAUGUAUUUUAGGGAAAAUAUUAACCAAGUAAAAUACAAAUUUAUGUUAAGAGACGCCCAAGGAAGAUAUUUGUGACAUUGAUUCAUUAGAAAUAUCCUCACGGGAGUAACAGAUCUGGGCCACAUAACAAGAGGCUCAAUUAUACAAUUUUUCGGUAACCAACGCUACAAUUGAUAGAUAAUGUAAUGAAAUUAUUGCUCUAGUGAUAAACUAAGCAUUAUGCUAGGCACAACAACACUGAUCUUGCUUGCAAUAUGCCCCAGUCGAGGGCUUAAGGCUGAGGCCGCAAACGGUCUGGCAACGGUCUUUGCACUUUUCCACAUGGAAGCACAAUGGAGCAUUCGCCCCAUCUUCAACUGCAAAUUCGAUCCAUGAUCCAUGUAAGUUCCAAUAUGCACGUACAAAAUAUGAAUUGAUGUAUGUAUGUAGGGGGAAAUAGUGACGAUUGUUAACAAAACAUGUGCAACGACUUAAAUACGGACGUAAAUAACCAAUCAAGACUCGAGAGGACAACAAAAUUUGGCAACACAUGAACAACAUAAGAAGAGAUGUUAUUACUUGUACGGGCAUAGCAAGACGAUGAUGAUAG